AUACAGAGGGUGCGAGCGUUAAUCGGAAUUACUGGGCGUAAAGCGCGCGUAGGCGGCUUGGUCAGUCGGAUGUGAAAGCCCUGGGCUCAACCUGGGAAUUGCAUUCGAUACUGCCAAGCUAGAGUAUGGGAGAGGGAAGUGGAAUUUCCGGUGUAGCGGUGAAAUGCGUAGAUAUCGGAAAGAACACCAGUGGCGAAGGCGACUUCCUGGCCCAAUACUGACGCUGAGGUGGGAAAGCGUGGGGAGCGAACAGGAUUAGAAACCCUAGUAGUCC
This 274-nucleotide ribosomal RNA is filed under the name uncultured bacterium. RNAcentral describes it as "partial 16S ribosomal RNA". It matches the Rfam family "Bacterial small subunit ribosomal RNA", at positions 523 to 796 of the family's 1533-position model. The record is from RNAcentral.